CAGUAGCCGCGGUAAAACGUAGGUGGCAAGCGUUGUCCGGAAUUAUUGGGCGUAAAGGGCUCGCAGGCGGUUUCUUAAGUCUGAUGUGAAAGCCCCCGGCUCAACCGGGGAGGGUCAUUGGAAACUGGGAAACUUGAGUGCAGAAGAGGAGAGUGGAAUUCCGCGUGUAGCGGUGAAAUGCGUAGAGAUGUGGAGGAACACCAGUGGCGAAGGCGACUCUCUGGUCUGUAACUGACGCUGAGGAGCGAAAGCGUGGGGAGCGAACAGGAUUAGAUUACCCGCGUAAGUCCCUGUCUCUUAU
This 301-nucleotide ribosomal RNA is filed under the name uncultured bacterium. RNAcentral describes it as "partial 16S ribosomal RNA". It matches the Rfam family "Bacterial small subunit ribosomal RNA", at positions 509 to 807 of the family's 1533-position model. The record is from RNAcentral.